Molecule: ribosomal RNA, 482 nt
Filed under: uncultured bacterium
Lineage: Bacteria
Description: partial 16S ribosomal RNA
Rfam family: Bacterial small subunit ribosomal RNA
Source: RNAcentral
AUUGAACGCUGGCGGCAUGCCUUACACAUGCAAGUCGAACGGUAACAGGUCUUCGGAUGCUGACGAGUGGCGAACGGGUGAGUAAUACAUCGGAACGUGCCCGAUCGUGGGGGAUAACGAGGCGAAAGCUUUGCUAAUACCGCAUACGAUCUACGGAUGAAAGCGGGGGAUCUUCGGACCUCGCGCGGACGGAGCGGCCGAUGGCAGAUUAGGUAGUUGGUGGGAUAAAAGCUUACCAAGCCGACGAUCUGUAGCUGGUCUGAGAGGAUGAUCAGCCACACUGGGACUGAGACACGGCCCAGACUCCUACGGGAGGCAGCAGUGGGGAAUUUUGGACAAUGGGCGAAAGCCUGAUCCAGCCAUGCCGCGUGCAGGAUGAAGGCCUUCGGGUUGCAAACUGCUUUUGUACGGAACGAAAAGCCUCUUUCUAAUAAAGAGGGGUCAUGACGGUACCGUAAGAAUAAGCACCGGCUAACUACGUG